UACGAAGGGUGCAAGCGUUAAUCGGAAUUACUGGGCGUAAAGCGUGCGUAGGCGGUUUGUUAAGUCUGUUGUGAAAUCCCCGGGCUCAACCUGGGAAUGGCAAUGGAUACUGGCAAGCUAGAGUGUGAUAGAGGAUGGUGGAAUUCCCGGUGUAGCGGUGAAAUGCGUAGAGAUCGGGAGGAACAUCAGUGGCGAAGGCGGCCAUCUGGAUCAACACUGACGCUGAGGCACGAAAGCGUGGGGAGCAAAC
RNAcentral lists this ribosomal RNA (250 nucleotides) under uncultured bacterium. RNAcentral's name for it is "partial 16S ribosomal RNA". It matches the Rfam family "Bacterial small subunit ribosomal RNA", at positions 524 to 773 of the family's 1533-position model. The record is from RNAcentral.